Molecule: ribosomal RNA, 466 nt
Filed under: uncultured bacterium
Lineage: Bacteria
Description: partial 16S ribosomal RNA
Rfam family: Bacterial small subunit ribosomal RNA
Source: RNAcentral
GAUGAACGCUGGCGGCGUGCUUAACACAUGCAAGUCGAACGAUGAAGCCCAGCUUGCUGGGUGGAUUAGUGGCGAACGGGUGAGUAACACGUGAGUAACCUGCCCUUAACUCUGGGAUAAGCCUGGGAAACUGGGUCUAAUACCGGAUAGGAGCGUCCACCGCAUGGUGGGUGUUGGAAAGAUUUAUCGGUUUUGGAUGGACUCGCGGGCUAUCAGCUUGUUGGUGAGGUAAUGGCUCACCAAGGCGAUGCCGGGUAGCCGGCCUGAGAGGGUGACCGGCCACACUGGGACUGAGACACGGCCCAGACUCCUACGGGAGGCAGCAGUGGGGAAUAUUGCACAAUGGGCGCCAGCCUGAUGCAGCGACGCCGCGUGGGGGAUGACGGCCUUCGGGUUGUAAACCUCUUUCAGUAGGGAAGAAGCGAAAGUGACGGUACCUGCAGAAGAAGCACCGGCUAACUACGUG